This 506-nucleotide ribosomal RNA is filed under the name uncultured bacterium. Its description in RNAcentral is "partial 16S ribosomal RNA". It matches the Rfam family "Bacterial small subunit ribosomal RNA", at positions 28 to 523 of the family's 1533-position model. The record is from RNAcentral.
GAUGAACGCUAGCUACAGGCUUAACACAUGCAAGUCGAGGGGUAACGAGAGGGAAGCUUGCCUUCCUUGUCGACGACCGGCGCACGGGUGAGUAACGCGUAUCCAACCUGCCCCCAACUAGGGAAUAACCUUGCGAAAGUAAGACUAAUACCCUAUAAUUUCCUCAGAUGUCAUCUGACGAGGAAUAAAGAUUUAUCGGUUGUGGAUGGGGAUGCGUCUGAUUAGCUUGUUGGCGGGGUAACGGCCCACCAAGGCAACGAUCAGUAGGGGUUCUGAGAGGAAGGUCCCCCACAUUGGAACUGAGACACGGUCCAAACUCCUACGGGAGGCAGCAGUGAGGAAUAUUGGUCAAUGGGCGGAAGCCUGAACCAGCCAAGUAGCGUGCAGGAUGGCGGCCCUAUGGGUUGUAAACUGCUUUUAUACAGGAAUAAAGUUAGCCACGUGUGGUUAUUUGUAGGUACUGUAUGAAUAAGGACCGGCUAAUUCCGUGCCAGCCGCCGCGGUAA